This 92-nucleotide non-coding RNA is filed under the name human gut metagenome. Its description in RNAcentral is "TPP riboswitch (THI element)". The stretch from base 3 to 81 matches the Rfam family "TPP riboswitch aptamer (THI element)", at positions 11 to 88 of the family's 105-position model. Rfam says of the family: Vitamin B(1) in its active form thiamin pyrophosphate (TPP) is an essential coenzyme that is synthesised by coupling of pyrimidine and thiazole moieties in bacteria. The previously detected thiamin-regulatory element, thi box was extended, resulting in a new, highly conserved RNA secondary structure, the THI element, which is widely distributed in eubacteria and also occurs in some archaea. Analysis of operon structures identified a large number of new candidate thiamin-regulated genes, mostly transporters, in various prokaryotic organisms. The record is from RNAcentral.
AGCGGGGAGCUUGUAGUACAGGCUGAGAGGAAGGUGAGACCUUCGACCCAUUACCUGAUUUGGAUAAUGCCAACGUAGGGAAGACUGUAAAU